CCCAGGUGCCUCUCUUCCAUGGCAUAAUUUGUUUAGCUGAAGCUUCUUGCCAAGAAACAUUUCUCUUAGGAGAAAACUCAGCAAACACAACUGCAGAGGCAAUUAGCUUUAUUAUAAUUAUUGUACUUGCCUAGUAACCACCACACAAAUGCCUGGAAUCCAUCAUUCUCACUCAAGCUGGACUGGGAAGUCUAGGAAAUAAGAAAAUUCUUACCACCUGCUUUGCUGACAUAAAAGUGCAAAUAAAUAUCCCCACAGACACCAGGGCAAUGGAGGUAUAUUUGAAUAUACUGUAUCUGC
RNAcentral lists this long non-coding RNA (300 nucleotides) under Homo sapiens (human). RNAcentral describes it as "HSALNT0129343". The record is from RNAcentral. Lineage: Eukaryota; Metazoa; Chordata; Mammalia; Primates; Hominidae.